RNAcentral lists this long non-coding RNA (933 nucleotides) under Glycine max (soybean). Its description in RNAcentral is "long non-coding RNA (GMAX_LNC000487)". The record is from RNAcentral. Lineage: Eukaryota; Viridiplantae; Streptophyta; Magnoliopsida; Fabales; Fabaceae.
AGGUCCAAGUUUGUAGUCAUUGCCAAUCCAUAAAAAAUAGUCCAUAACUCAACUAAUAUGGAACAAUGACAAGUCUUCUUGAAAAAGUUGGAAUGAAAAUGCUGUUAGAGUUGCAAAUGACAGCUUUGCAAGACCGCUGUACCCUAGAGAUAUGAUUCAUCACAAUUUAAGUUUAAAGAAUCUCUCGUUAGGCUUCUUUCACUUUGCAGACUUAUCACGAUGAGUCAUGUUCUCAUCAUUGAGAAGCAAAUUUGGACUUCCUUGCUUCUCUAUGGUUACGCAUUUUUGCUGGAAAACCAUCUCAUUCCUCUUCCACCAAAAUUUGUUUAAACAAGACUCCAAUGUGAACUAUCAGUGCAUACGGUGUUUCACAAGUUUCUACUUAGCCAAUCAUGAACAGUGGAGUACCUUGAUGUCAGAAAAAAAAAGUGUAAAAUAAAUGGAUAAUUAAUGAUGAAAGUAUAAAAAGAAAAAAAGAAAAAAAUUUGAUAUUUUGAAUUGAGGGGGAGGAAGAAGAAUAUAAGUAGUGGGAUUUUGAGAGAGAGAGAGAGACUGAUAGCAAUAACAACCUAUGAAGCACCGACACGGUCACCGGACACGACACAGACACAUGUAAUGUUCAAAAUAUAGAACAUGAUACGGGUGUCGUGUCAGUGUUGAACACUGAUACAAACGCGUGUCGAACACCGGACACGACAAGAAACUAGAGUGUCCGUGCUUCAUAGAUAACAACACAACAGGUCACAUACCAGAAGCCAGCAAUCAUAUUAACAGGCCAAGGAGAAUCACAAAGAAGCCCAAAUACCUUGAGGAAUACCUUUGAAGUGCAAAAGCAAAAGUUACCAAGUUGGUUGCAGCAUUCCACUACUUUCAGAAAGCUAAUUCCAAUUCUGUUAUAACAAAGUUAAUUCAGUUAGAAUACAGUAGUAUAAA